Molecule: transfer RNA, 83 nt
Filed under: Apaloderma vittatum (bar-tailed trogon)
Lineage: Eukaryota; Metazoa; Chordata; Aves; Trogoniformes; Trogonidae
Rfam family: tRNA
About the family: Transfer RNA (tRNA) molecules are approximately 80 nucleotides in length.
Source: Rfam by way of RNAcentral
GGACAGUUAGCUCAGUGGUUUGAGCACGGUGCUAACAGCAAUGAACAACAUCAAGGUCGAGGGUUCGAUUCCCGCUCGGUCCU